GAUGAACGCUAGCGGCAGGCUUAACACAUGCAAGUCGAACGGCAGCACAGGUAGCAAUACUGGGUGGCGAGUGGCGCACGGGUGCGUAACACAUAUGUAACUUGCCCCUAACUGGAGAAUAGCCCGGAGAAGUUCGGAUUAAUGUUCCAUAAUAUAACGGACUGGCAUCACUUUGUUAUUAAAGUAUUACGGUUAGGGAUAUACAUGCGUUCGAUUAGCUAGUUGGCGGGGUAACGGCCCACCAAGGCUACGAUCGAUAGGGGACCUGAGAGGGGUAUCCCCCACACUGGUACUGAGACACGGACCAGACUCCUACGGGAGGCAGCAGUGAGGAAUAUUGGACAAUGGCCGCAAGGCUGAUCCAGCCAUGCCGCGUGCAGGAUGACGGCCCUAUGGGUUGUAAACUGCUUUUCUACGGGAAUAAACCUCCUUACGUGUAAGGAGCUGAAGGUACCGUAGGAAUAAGCACCGGCUAACUCCGUGCCAGCCGCCGCCGUAA
RNAcentral lists this ribosomal RNA (499 nucleotides) under uncultured bacterium. RNAcentral's name for it is "partial 16S ribosomal RNA". It matches the Rfam family "Bacterial small subunit ribosomal RNA", at positions 28 to 523 of the family's 1533-position model. The record is from RNAcentral.